GCGCAGCAGGCGCGAAACCUCCGCAAUGCGGGAAACCGUGACGGGGUCACCCCGAGUGCCACCCGAUGAGGGUGGCUUUUCCCCGGUCUAAAAAGCCGGGGGCAAUAAGCGGGGGGCAAGUCUGGUGUCAGCCGCCGCGGUAAUACCAGCCCCGCGAGUGGUCGGGACGUUUAUUGGGCCUAAAGCGUCCGUAGCCGGCUCGGUAAGUCCCUCCUUAAAUCCACGGGCUCAACCCGUGGGCUGGGAGGGAUACUGCCGGGCUAGGGGGCGGGAGAGGCCGAGGGUACUCCCGGGGUAGGGGCGAAAUCCGUUAAUCCCGGGAGGACCACCAGUGGCGAAGGCGCUCGGCUGGAACGCGCCCGACGGUGAGGGACGAAAGCUAGGGGAGCAAAGGGGAUUAGAUACCCCCGUAGU
RNAcentral lists this ribosomal RNA (414 nucleotides) under uncultured microorganism. RNAcentral's name for it is "bacterial SSU rRNA". It matches the Rfam family "Archaeal small subunit ribosomal RNA", at positions 330 to 745 of the family's 1478-position model. The record is from RNAcentral.